RNAcentral lists this ribosomal RNA (1083 nucleotides) under bacterium. RNAcentral describes it as "bacterial SSU rRNA". It matches the Rfam family "Bacterial small subunit ribosomal RNA", at positions 50 to 1143 of the family's 1533-position model. The record is from RNAcentral.
AGGACAUGCAAGUCGAACGAUGAAGCCCAGCUUGCUGGGUGGAUUAGUGGCGAACGGGUGAGUAACACGUGAGUAACCUGCCCUUAACUCUGGGAUAAGCCUGGGAAACUGGGUCUAAUACCGGAUAGGAGCGUCCACCGCAUGGUGGGUGUUGGAAAGAUUUAUCGGUUUUGGAUGGACUCGCGGCCUAUCAGCUUGUUGGUGAGGUAAUGGCUCACCAAGGCGACGACGGGUAGCCGGCCUGAGAGGGUGACCGGCCACACUGGGACUGAGACACGGCCCAGACUCCUACGGGAGGCAGCAGUGGGGAAUAUUGCACAAUGGGCGAAAGCCUGAUGCAGCGACGCCGCGUGAGGGAUGACGGCCUUCGGGUUGUAAACCUCUUUCAGUAGGGAAGAAGCGAAAGUGACGGUACCUGCAGAAGAAGCACCGGCUAACUACGUGCCAGCAGCCGCGGUAAUACGUAGGGUGCGAGCGUUAUCCGGAAUUAUUGGGCGUAAAGAGCUCGUAGGCGGUUUGUCGCGUCUGUCGUGAAAGUCCGGGGCUUAACCCCGGAUCUGCGGUGGGUACGGGCAGACUAGAGUGCAGUAGGGGAGACUGGAAUUCCUGGUGUAGCGGUGGAAUGCGCAGAUAUCAGGAGGAACACCGAUGGCGAAGGCAGGUCUCUGGGCUGUAACUGACGCUGAGGAGCGAAAGCAUGGGGAGCGAACAGGAUUAGAUACCCUGGUAGUCCAUGCCGUAAACGUUGGGCACUAGGUGUGGGGACCAUUCCACGGUUUCCGCGCCGCAGCUAACGCAUUAAGUGCCCCGCCUGGGGAGUACGGCCGCAAGGCUAAAACUCAAAGGAAUUGACGGGGGCCCGCACAAGCGGCGGAGCAUGCGGAUUAAUUCGAUGCAACGCGAAGAACCUUACCAAGGCUUGACAUGUUCUCGAUCGCCGUAGAGAUACGGUUUCCCCUUUGGGGCGGGUUCACAGGUGGUGCAUGGUUGUCGUCAGCUCGUGUCGUGAGAUGUUGGGUUAAGUCCCGCAACGAGCGCAACCCUCGUUCCAUGUUGCCAGCACGUCCGGGGUGGGGACUCCUG